RNAcentral lists this unclassified non-coding RNA (5893 nucleotides) under Leishmania donovani. Its description in RNAcentral is "gene:LdHU3.34.1560(CDS-product:Wee1-like_protein_ kinase_putative)". Lineage: Eukaryota; Euglenozoa; Kinetoplastea; Trypanosomatida; Trypanosomatidae. The record is from RNAcentral.
CUCGGGGUGCCGCAGCGCAAACUACAUCAUCUCGUCAGCUGUUAGCGCACAUUCACAGCGGAAACGCACAAAGCAUCGUGCGAGCGCGGCUGUUAGACGUCUGUAAUAUCCCCAGUCAGAUGCAUUAGCCCCUCUCCCUUUAUUUCCCUUUUCCUGCUCGUCGCUCUGCAGCCUAUUUGUGGCUGGACCGCCUCUCUCCGUCACCGCAGUCAGCCACACACACACACACACCAUCUCUUUUCUGCUUUGAGCGUUUUAUCAUGUGACUUCCUUGAAGGAGCACCGCGCAUCUACUUGAUCAACGCGUGCCAUAACUGAAUUGCUCUAAAGACAUUCAUCGCCGUCUUUCCGCGACGGAGGCCAGCGCCGCAAACACCCAUACGUACCGGAGGCACAUCAAUACAUUCCUCUCUUCUAGUCCGCCUACACCCUCGCAUACAGCCUUCGGCAUCGAACACUUCUCGCGCACUGGCGCAUCUCUCUGGCACACGGAGAGGAGUUCGCACGAAAGCGAAACGGAAGUGGUUGUCUGCACAAGAGCACGGUGAGGCCCUUCGCAGCACCGCUUCAACUCGCGCAUAGAUACACGUACACAUACACACACACACACACGCACACAUACGCACAUACGCACACUCGCGCGCGAGCGACUUUCUUCCCCCUCUCUCCCCAUCACUGGAUUAUAGAGAGAGAGCGCGUCUUGGAGACGCAGACGUCUGAUUUUCGUGGCGUAUGGAUCACACAUCAAAGUAGUAACGCGUACACUGCGCAUCUGUCUUGCGUUCACUGGCUGCCUCCGCCUCUUUUCCUUUCGCAUCUCUCACACGUGCCCGCAUCUUUCUGUCUUAUCAUCACACGCACACACGCACACACACACAGGCACAGGCACAGGCACAGGCACAGGCACAGGCACAGGCACAGGCACAGAGAGGUACGCCUGUUAUUUCGCUUUCUGUUGGCGUGUGUGUGUGUGUGUGGCGUAAGCGAUCUCUGACGUGCCUCUCUCUCUGUAUAUGUAUAUACAUACAUGUAUAUAUAUGCAUAUAUAUACAUAAACAGAGUAUCCCACGAUCUUUCCUGCUUCAGUUGCUUUUCGCACUCUCUGCCUCUCUUUGCGCGUUUACAUUGAUACUGCUCGGGAGGAGGGGGGAGGUGCGGCGUCUUCCAGAGGGUCCGCGAGACCAACAAGGAAAGCACAGGCGAGCGGCAAGGACACAAUCCCUUCACUAGAGAAGAUUUCCAUACAUGCGAGCAAAGAUAGACGACGAGAACUCGUCCGUGGCCGUCACGCUUCUGCCUUCAGCACAGGUGGAGCCUCUGGCCAGCUCUCAGCCUCCCACACGCACCGGCGCCGUGGGCACCAUGGUGAACACUGAUGCCAUCGAUGCACGAGGCAAUGAUGCAGAAAGCUCUGGUGGCGGGAGCGCGCCAUCUUCGAUGGCCACGACGACUACAAUCAACGCAGUCUUCUACAACCCCUCCGCGCAGCUGCCGACGCCGCCACCACUGCAUCGGAACUCGUCGUCGCCGGCGCCGAUGCAGCAUCUGCAGCACGAGGAACCGCAGCGACUUCGAGCUGUCCCCUACUUUCCUGCGUCCUGCGAGUCCGACAGCAACGAGGAGCCUCUCUUCCAGCAUCCUCCACCUGCAAAGCCCAGAGCACCCCUUCGGCCGGCCCCGCAGUCGGGCCGUCUGUGGGGCGCUGUGAGUGCGACGCCGUCGUCCGCCGGCUUUGUUAGCGGUGGAACCGCUCCGUACGCUUCCCUUCUCCACACCUCAUCCGCCCCGGCCGUGGCAGACACAGAGACGUCGAGCACAACGGCGGGACAUGGCUUAGUUGUCGGCUGUGAAACCUCGAAUCACUGCCUUCCGGCGUCCAUCAAGGCGCACCCCCCUGCGUCCGCCACUAGCCCUGCAAGCAUACACGGAGGCUACUCGGACAGUGUCAGUGACUCCACGGCAACGACGACGGUUGGAAAUCAUAGCAGUGGCGGCCGCGGGCUGCGACGGCCUCCGUUAAUGACGGGGCCCAACGGCGCGGCAGUGCCGUUGGCGUCACCGAUGCUGAGUGGGCCGCAGGGUCGGUGGGUAAGGUCUUCGGGCGACGAGAGCAGCAGCGGCUUUGCAACCCUGGCUGUGCCUGCGGCGCCUGCCAACUUGGGGGACACGGUACUCGUCGCCGAGCCGCCGACACCAACGAAGCAGCGUCGCACGAUUCACACAGGAAUGGGCAACACGGUAAGUCUUUCAUGCGGAGGCAUCGUCGCCGCUCCUCGGUUGUCCACCUCCGCUGCAGCCAGCACCGGAACCUGCGCCUCGGCUGCUGCCGCAACGUCCGCCGCCGCUGUUGCCGGAGGUGCGUCACCAAAGCCGUCUCUGCGCAUUGCCGCGCCAUUUCGAGGACUCGGCUACAACCCAGCGGCUAACAGCGUAUCAGCGCCUGCUUCGCGUGCCACCACGUCGAGCAUGAGCACCGCCCCUCCACCGCCGUCCUUCAAGUGCUACCGCCGCGAGGGCAGCCGGAAGCGGUCCGCCGACGUUCUGUCGCAGUUCAGCGCACUUGACCUUGAUGAAACACCAGCAACGCCUUUUGCGCAGACGGGCACCAGUCGUUUUACCAGCAUCAACCACAACGGCAACGGGCACAACGCCUUCCCAUCGCAGCCGUCACCGUCGACGGCUGUCUACCGGGGCGCCGGCGGCGGCAGCAAUGCGAUCAGCACCGUUUCCCCUCUUACCAUAGACUACGCCACACCUGUGGCUCUGUCUCAGCAGAUUGGUGGCUCGAAUACCUUCUCGCAGGUGCUCCUGCAUCCAUCUCAGGACGUUCUGGACAUGUCGCAGGCCGAAACGGAAUGCUCGAACUUCUUGGCGCGGCGCAUCCUAAAGGAGUACAACGAAGUACGACUUCUCGGCAGCGGCUCCUUCGGCACGGUUUCCUUGUUCAAGGAGAUCAGCUCAGGCGAGUAUGUCGCAGUGAAGAUGUCGCCGCCGCUACGGACGCCGGAGAUGGAGCGGCGAUACCGCCGCGAGCGGUCUGUGAUGGGCAUGGUGCGGGGGCUGCCGCACGUCGUGCAGCUCUCUGCCGCCUGGGAGGAAGGUCGGGUGCCGCGCAUGUAUCUGCAGCUGGAGUACUGUCCUGGCGGCUCCGUCGCAUCUGUCGCGAACGCGAAGCAGAGCCGGAAUGAGCCCUGGUCGGAGGCGGAGGUGAAGGUAUUCCUAGCUCACAUGAGCAUCGCACUCGAUGCGCUGCACCGCGCCAACAUUGCGCACGUCGACUUCAAGCCGGACAACGUCCUCGUCGAUAAGGACGGGGCGUACAAGCUGUCUGAUUUCGGCUGCAGCGUGCUACUGGAUGAGAGAGGCCGACCGAGACCAGAGACGCGGAACGGCUACGGAUCCCUGGCACGAGGCCAACGAGCUGGCUGGGUCGGAGGUGUCGCGUGCGCGAACCCGAACGGCGGACCUGCUGUUCACACAGGUGCUGGCGUUGGCGCUGGCGGGCUGGGCUCUUCCCUGGACUUCAACAACUGGAACGAAGGCAACGAGCUGAGCACGAUGAGCAUUGACGAGGGCGAUUGCCGGUACCUGUGCGCCGACAUGCUGAAUGAAAAACAGCACUUCAAGGCUGGUGACAUGUUCUCGUUAGGGAUGUCGCUUUUCGAACUCAUGUCAGGCCAACCACUCCCCCGCAAUGGCGAUCAGUUCCUAGCACUCCGCCGCCGCGUGCCGGUGGAGGUGCUGCGCCGCCGCGGAUACUCGGCCGACCUGGUGGAGCUUGUCGUGGCGCUCUUGCGUAGCGAUCCCCCACAGCGACCGACUGCACGACAGGUUCUACAGUACCUCCGGCUCUCUUCCGAGGAACUUCAGCUGCUGUCGAGCGCCUCGGCGAUGAAGCGGUGGACAGAGAGCGCUGAAAGCUUUUUGCAACUGCAGGAGGAGGAGCGGCAGCAGCCACCGCUCGGCAAGGAUGGUGUCUUGGCUGCCACCGUGGACGCGCUGCGGUGUGUGAGUGCGCUCAUGGAGGCGUCAAUGUGGCUCUUCACGACAACUCAGCAGGAUGUGCACCGACUCGCUGCCCCAGCAAACGCUGGCAAGGGAGAGGAUGAGGAGGAUGAGCGGCGCCGCCAGCAAACUCAGCAGCCACAACCGCAGCCGUUGCUCCAGCUCCCUCGCGGACAACAAUUAGAAGACUUGCCCAUGUCUCCGAUCCAGUGCGAUGAGGCGUGCACGCCGACUGCACUGAAUUACUAGUGUCCGCGGGUAUCGCUGCUGCUGCGCGACACGGCAAACAACCCGUUCAUGUAGUUCUUUGCCUCUGCUGCUCCUGUACACUCCACAAUCAUGUACACCCAGCCUCUGUGCUUGCGUGCACCCCUCCUCCUCCCUCCUCUUCUCAGGGGUAGGGGUGAGGUGCCGACUCUGUGGCCAGCAUGUUGGCGGACGGUGCCUUUCACAAGCAUCUUCAGUUUCUUUUUUGUGUGGAUUCGCUCUUUGCUAUUAUUAGUUUCCUUUCUUGCGAUCUUUCCCCCCCUCCCUGCACCAUUUGCUUUUCAGUGAUUCUGGUCUCUUCCAGCCAUGCCGACGGUCGAGCGUGAGCGUGUGUGUGAGUGCGUCUACGCAUGUGCUGUGCUUUGCUGUACGGCGCCGGCGCCUCUCAUGCGCCCUUUCUCAUACCCUCCCUGCGUCUUCCUCCCCCGCGGCGGAGGAGGAAGGAAGGACAUACGGAGAAACAGAGAGAGAAAGGGGAGGGAGGGGGAGGGGACGACGAGGACGCGAGCGACUCUACGCACUCCCCGGCACCUACGCAUUCGCUUCACAACGUUCGCCACCUUUUGCUUUGGACCUUUCGGUUCUUUUAUUUUAUUUUUUUCUUUGCUCGGCUUCAUAGAUCGUUUUGGCACAAGGAGGAUGUUUCUUCGUGUGCCCCUCCAUCGACUUCCCCCACCCCCUUUCUGUCUUACUCUCUUGCGCUUGGUACUUUUCUUUUCCUAGAACCCUCGUGACAAGAAAAGGGGAGCGCACCUCUCAGGGCGUGGUGGUGUCACAGGGCCCAGUACAUCCCCUCCCACUCUCUCUGUGUGUGCGUGGAGAAGUCGGGCAGCCCCCCUCCCCUCCUGUGCUUGCGAAAUGCCGAGCGGCUUCUGGCGGUGACAGGGUCUGGUGACUGCGACGUGGGGAGGUCAGAGCGAUGCAUUGCUACUGAUGUCGGCAGUGAGGUCGUGGGCGGCGUUGCGUCGGAGCGACCCGCGCCGCUGAACGCGUCGGCGCCAUCGACAUGAUGGGCGAAGUGCCAGCGUGACUGGAAGGCGUCGCAGCCGGCCCUCACACUGCCCGCUGGUGUGUGUGGCGGGGGGCCUGGGGCACCGCACGAGGGGGUGCGCGAGGUGGUGGCGUGCGUGAUGGGUGCGGCUGUGAGGCGACCUGCGAGGCCGGGGCGGUGCUGAGGUGACUGCGUGUGUGCGCAUUGCUGUGAGGCAUGCGUCUCUGGCUGCAUUGCACCGCGCGGGGUGCGCCUGUGGCAGGGCCGGGGAGGGCUGGAGUGGGGCUUGACUCCUGUUGUAUGGCCGGGAGGAUGGGCUCACGGUGAUGAAAACAUCUUCUGGUGUGCUUGUGUGCCUGUGGUACUGUCUGCGUGUCUCAAUACCAGUCUCGGUGAAGGAUGACGUCCGUCGAUGCUGUUGUCGUUUUGUGCCUUUUAUGCCACUUCAUCUUAUUUUCCUUUUUGCUCGUUGGGGCCGUCGUUCCCCUCUUCCUCAAAGUGGUCUACGCAGGUGGCCAGCAAGCAACGCUCCAUGACCAUCUAACAUCGGCUCUGCAACAAGAUGCGCGCCGUACAACAUGCCUGUGUGCGUGUGCGUGUGUGCGUACGUCUUCCUGUCUGUGCUCUCUC